Molecule: unclassified non-coding RNA, 400 nt
Filed under: soil metagenome
Description: partial contains 5.8S ribosomal RNA, internal transcribed spacer 2, and large subunit ribosomal RNA
Rfam family: 5.8S ribosomal RNA (bases 1-122)
Source: RNAcentral
GAUGAAGAACGCAGCGAAAUGCGAUACUUGGUGUGAAUUGCAGAAUCCCGUGAACCAUCGAGUCUUUGAACGCAAGCUGCGCCUCAAGCCAUUAGGUUGAGGGCACGUCUGCCUGGGCGUCACAUAUCGUUGCCUGAUGCCAGUUUCCUCGUGAUGGGUGACUGUGCAGGGCGAAUGAUGGCUUCCCGUGAGCAUUGUUGCCUCAUGGUUGGUUGAAAAUUGAGUCCUUGGUAGGGAGCGCCGUGAUAGAUGGUGGUUGAGUGACGAACGAGACCCAAUCAUGUGAGACCCCUACCGAAUUUGGCCUUCAUGACCCACAUGCGUCUUUGGAACGCUCAUGACGAGACCUCAGGUCAGGCGGGGCUACCCGCUGAGUUUAAGCAUAUCAAUAAGCGGAGGA